RNAcentral lists this ribosomal RNA (259 nucleotides) under uncultured prokaryote. RNAcentral's name for it is "partial 16S ribosomal RNA". It matches the Rfam family "Bacterial small subunit ribosomal RNA", at positions 524 to 782 of the family's 1533-position model. The record is from RNAcentral.
UACGUAGGGGACGAGCGUUGUCCGGAAUUACUGGGCGUAAAGGGCGCGCAGGCUGUAGAUCAAGUCAGCUGUGAAAUGUCUGGGCUUAACCCGGGCAUGCGGUUGAAACUGAUGUACUGGAGUGCUGUAGAGGCAAGUGGAAUUCCCAGUGUAGCGGUGAAAUGCGUAGAUAUUGGGAAGAACACCGGUGGCGAAGGUGACUUGCUGGGCAGCAACUGACGCUGAGGCGCGAAAGCCAGGGGAGGCAAACGGGAUUAGA